GAAAUGCGAUAAGUAAUGUGAAUUGCAGAAUUCAGUGAAUCAUCGAAUCUUUGAACGCACAUUGCGCCCGCCAGUAUUCUGGCGGGCAUGCCUGUCCGAGCGUCAUUUCAACCAUCAAGCCCCCGGGCUUGUGUUGGGGACCUGCGGCUGCCCGCAGGCCCUGAAAACCAGUGGCGGGCUCGCUGUCACACCGAGCGUAGUAGCAAUCACCUCGCUCAGGGCGUGCUGCGGGUUCCGGCCGUUAAACAGCCUUACAAAACCCAAGGUUGACCUCGGAUCGGGCAGGGAUACCCGCUGAACUUAAGC
Molecule: unclassified non-coding RNA, 306 nt
Filed under: plant metagenome
Description: partial contains 5.8S ribosomal RNA, internal transcribed spacer 2, and large subunit ribosomal RNA
Rfam family: 5.8S ribosomal RNA (bases 1-105)
Source: RNAcentral